UACGGGGGGAGCAAGCGUUGUUCGGAUUUACUGGGCGUAAAGGGCGCGUAGGCGGUCAGCACAAGUCAGUUGUGAAAUCUCCGGGCUUAACUCGGAAAGGUCAACUGAUACUGUGCGACUAGAGUGCAGAAGGGGGCAACUGGAAUUCUCGGUGUAGCGGUGAAAUGCGUAGAUAUCGAGAGGAACACCCUGCGGCGAAGGCGGGGUGCUGGGGCUGACACUGACCGCUGAUGCGCGAAAGCGUGGGGGAGCGAAC
This 256-nucleotide ribosomal RNA is filed under the name uncultured bacterium. RNAcentral describes it as "partial 16S ribosomal RNA". It matches the Rfam family "Bacterial small subunit ribosomal RNA", at positions 524 to 773 of the family's 1533-position model. The record is from RNAcentral.